Molecule: transfer RNA, 73 nt
Filed under: Candidatus Nitrosocosmicus sp.
Lineage: Archaea; Thermoproteati; Nitrososphaerota; Nitrososphaeria; Nitrososphaerales; Nitrososphaeraceae
Description: tRNA-Gln
Rfam family: tRNA
About the family: Transfer RNA (tRNA) molecules are approximately 80 nucleotides in length. Their secondary structure includes four short double-helical elements and three loops (D, anti-codon, and T loops).
Source: RNAcentral
AGCCCGGUGGUCUAGCGGUCAAGGAUUCCAGGCUCUGAACCUGGAGACAGCAGUUCGAAUCUGCUCCGGGCUA